UACGUAGGGAGCAAGCGUUGUCCGGAAUCAUUGGGCGUAAAGCGCGCGUAGGUGGCCUCAUAAGUCCGCUGUGAAAGUCAAAGGCUCAACCUUUGAAAGCCGGUGGAUACUGUGAGGCUAGAGUACGGAAGAGGCGAGUGGAAUUCCUGGUGUAGCGGUGAAAUGCGCAGAUAUCAGGAGGAACACCGAUGGCGAAGGCAGCUCGCUGGGACGGUAUUGACGCUGAGACGCGAAAGCGUGGGGAGCAAACAGG
This 253-nucleotide ribosomal RNA is filed under the name uncultured bacterium. RNAcentral describes it as "partial 16S ribosomal RNA". It matches the Rfam family "Bacterial small subunit ribosomal RNA", at positions 524 to 776 of the family's 1533-position model. The record is from RNAcentral.